RNAcentral lists this ribosomal RNA (301 nucleotides) under uncultured bacterium. RNAcentral describes it as "partial 16S ribosomal RNA". It matches the Rfam family "Bacterial small subunit ribosomal RNA", at positions 512 to 810 of the family's 1533-position model. The record is from RNAcentral.
UCGCCGCGGUAAUACGAGGGGGGCAAGCGUUGUUCGGAAUUAUUGGGCGUAAAGGGUGCGUAGGCGGUUCAGCAAGUCUCGUGUGAAAUCUUCGGGCUCAACCCGAAGUCUGCACGGGAAACUACUGGGCUUGAGUAAUGGAGAGGUGAGUGGAAUUUCCGGUGUAGCGGUGAAAUGCGUAGAUAUCGGAAGGAACACCUGUGGCGAAAGCGGCUCACUGGACAUUUACUGACGCUGAUGCACGAAAGCUAGGGGAGCAAACAGGAUUAGAUACCCGUGUAGUCCCUGUCUCUUAUACACA